Molecule: unclassified non-coding RNA, 331 nt
Filed under: soil metagenome
Description: partial contains 5.8S ribosomal RNA, internal transcribed spacer 2, and large subunit ribosomal RNA
Rfam family: 5.8S ribosomal RNA (bases 1-120)
Source: RNAcentral
GAUGAAGAACAUAGCAAAAUGCGAUAAGUAAUGUGAAUUGCAGAAUUCAGUGAAUCAUCGAAUCUUUGAACGCACAUUGCGCCCGCCAGUAUUCUGGCGGGCAUGCCUGUUCGAGCGUCAUUUCAACCCUCAAGCACAGCUUGGUGUUGGGACUCGCGUUAAUUCGCGUUCCCCAAAUUGAUUGGCGGUCACGUCGAGCUUCCAUAGCGUAGUAGUAAAACCCUCGUUACUGGUAAUCGUCGCGGCCACGCCGUUAAACCCCAACUUCUGAAUGUUGACCUCGGAUCAGGUAGGAAUACCCGCUGAACUUAAGCAUAUCAUAAGCGGAGGA